CUUUAACGUAAUGAAUGAUAAUUAACCAUAAUUCGUAAAUAACUGCAACGAUAUUUUAGCAAACACAGAUCGCUGAAAAACUGGAAAGCCUGGUUUACUGGCGCCAAGAAACCCGCAAAACCGAACCGACAAUAGACGAAUACGAUAUUAUGACUUCCCUGGUCGAGCGGGGCCAUGCGAAACGAUUAACAUUGUCCGCCGGUGGCGUUAUGGAUUUGACACCGCUUUCCUUACUCACAUUCGCCUGCUGUGUUCUCGGCUUCGUCAUAUUUGCGGUCGAUCGCAUGGAGAACAUCCAGUCAACUGCCCGCAUGGUUACCAAGCUGAUUGUCGACCACAACGUCACCAUUCCGGAAGAACUCAAAGCAAACCUCACCAGUAUUUGAUUGGAACUAAUUUGUGAUUAAAAAUUUUCACUUAUAACGUAAGUAUACUCUGUAGCAGUGUUUUUA
Molecule: long non-coding RNA, 452 nt
Organism: Paramacrobiotus metropolitanus
Lineage: Eukaryota; Metazoa; Tardigrada; Eutardigrada; Parachela; Macrobiotidae
Exons: 3
Source: RefSeq, a predicted model, not a curated record